AUUGAACGCUGGCGGCAUGCCUUACACAUGCAAGUCGAACGGCAGCACGGGAGCAAUCCUGGUGGCGAGUGGCGAACGGGUGAGUAAUAUAUCGGAACGUGCCCAGUCGUGGGGGAUAACGUAGCGAAAGCUACGCUAAUACCGCAUACGAUCGAUGGAUGAAAGCGGGGGAUCGCAAGACCUCGCGCGAUUGGAGCGGCCGAUAUCAGAUUAGGUAGUUGGUGAGGUAAAGGCUAAACAAGCCGACGAGCUGUAGCUGGUCUGGGAGGACGACAGGCAACAAGGGAACUGAGACACGGCCAAGACUCCGAGGGGAGGCAGCAGUGGGGAAUUUUGGACAAUGGGCGCAAGCCUGAUCCAGCAAUGCCGCGGGCAGGAUGAAGGCCUUCGGGUUGUAAACUGCUUUCGUACGGAACGAAACGGCGAGCUCUAAUACAGUUUGCUAAUGACGGUACCGUAAGAAUAAGCACCGGCUAACUACGUGCCAGCCGCCGCCGUAA
This 500-nucleotide ribosomal RNA is filed under the name uncultured bacterium. RNAcentral's name for it is "partial 16S ribosomal RNA". It matches the Rfam family "Bacterial small subunit ribosomal RNA", at positions 29 to 523 of the family's 1533-position model. The record is from RNAcentral.